This is a non-coding RNA of Cinara cedri, 8546 nucleotides long. The record is from the annotation of a GenBank genome assembly. Lineage: Eukaryota; Metazoa; Arthropoda; Insecta; Hemiptera; Aphididae.
AUAUCAGAGUUUAAAUGUAAUGUAGCACUGAAGUGUGAUCAGGUUGUCUAUGCAUUCAUUGUUUUAUUUACUGUUCAUUUUUAUGUGUGAUGCGUGGGUAUUAUAUACCCAUUACGUUACGUUAAUCAAUUAUCAUUUACAUAUAUAUUAGGCGAUAGAAUAUUCCAAUCAAGAUGAAGAAAUCGUCAAAUAACUGCAUACUAUUAAUUUUUAUCGUUAUAGUUUCGGGUAAAUAUAAUUUAAAUUUGAUUAACGGUAUAAUACCAAUGUUAGUAUUUUAUUUGAUGUUCAUAUGUAUAGAAGAAAAAAGUAAAAUUUUAAGAUAGUGAAAAUAUCCAGGCCUUUAUUAUAAAGCAUAAUGCCGAGUGAUUCUUUAUCGUUAAACACUCAUUAUUUCGAAAAGUACUGACUAUUCUUUGUGAUUUUAGAUUUUGAGUGGUGCGAAGAAGCCAAUGGUUUAACAAAGAUGUUUAUUUAUUUUUAAAGUAUAAAUUUAAAUUAAAUAUUAAAGUAUAAAUAAUUGACCCAGUCGAACAAGGAAAAAAACUUGAUUUGUGUAGUUCUAUAGCGCUGCCGAAGAUUUUAACAACGUUAUAAAACAAUGUAUAUAAUAGUUAAAAUUGCUUUUAAUGAAAAUAAGAAAAAAAAUAAAAAAUAAAAAUAAAGAACAUAAUUAGUUACACACAAUUAAAUAACUCUUUUAAUUCGAGAAAUUCGAUAAAAUAUUAAGUAUCAAUAAUAUUAUAACAUUUUCCCGGUGUAAUAUAGACUUAAGAAAUUACAAAAAAAGCAUUAUAUUUUAUGUAGGUACCCAUUUGAUAAAAUUGAUUUUGGAUUAAAUUAUAUUGGAUAUUAUAUUUUUCUCUUAUCUCAGGUUUACUUUUAUUCAAACCGGUUUUCUGUACGGAUAGACGACUAUUGAUUAUUGACAUUUGUCGUGACCUCCCAUCAUUCACAGCCAUUUAAAUUACAUUGCAUGCAAUUUAUUUGUCCAUUAUAAUACUUAACGCUAUCUAUUGACACAUUAAGCUGUUAAUAAAUAGGUUUCCAUAUUUUAUCACUGCAUGAACUAUUCGCGAUUGAAAGCAAAAAAAGUCGCUACUUGGUGUAAUUUAUUAGAACCGCUCUACCGGGGAUGAUAUACGUUUGAUUACAUUAUAUUGAAUACUGACUUCUGAGUUCCUUUGUAACAUUCUCGUUUCGUUGUAAUAAUUAUAAAUAUAGCUUUAUUUGUUGAUAUUAUGGAUAACCAUAAUUAUUGUCUUAGUUAAAUGGAUAAUAAAAAUGCAUAAAUUAAAUUCAAACUUGUAUUGCACUUACAUAAUAUCUAAACUAGAACAAAGACGAAAAAAAUAAACACCUUAGUAAAACCAAUAGCUCCAUCGCUACGCUUGGAAUCUAAAACUAGUAAUAAAUGGAUUAUUUCGGAUAAUUACUAUUAUUAUAAUGCUAUCAUCGCGCCCAUCUCCUCGUUAGCCUUAUCAUUAGUAUCGCUACCUAUAGAUCCUAUCAAUCGCGAAUCUAUAUAUACUUAGGGCCGUAUUCUCUAAUAUUAAAAAAGGCGAUUAUCUGAUUCUUAUACUGAAUUUAUAGCUGAUAACCGACCACGAUUUGUCGAUUAUCUUAUAAACUCCGUUCCAAUCAACGAUUACGUUGGUGAGAACGGGUCUUAAUCAAAGAACAAGGAUGAUACCUUGAAGACCACGGCAAUGGUCUUAGAAGACCGUGACUACGACUAUAGAGUAUAGAUAAUCUAUAGACUAUAACUAUUAUUUAUGAAUUAAGAUAUACAGAAUAUCGAACAAACGUGUGAUAAGUGAAACUCGAACUUUCUCACUUUUUGACAAGGCCACUAACAUCAUCUAGUUUACUCUUUACAAACUAUGUCAAUAUUUAUUAUAGAAUAGAUAUGCAAUUUAUUACAUAUCCUACUCCUCCAGUCUAAACUUUAAACUGGUUAAUUGAUUUAUAUAUCAAUUUUGUCUUAAAGCGUUAGCUGUCAUGCCAAACAGUGAGAACCGGGCGGACACAGAAAAACAUUGAUAAUAUCUUUCCGUUCGGUAUGAGAAUACACUUAGAGCCCGUAUUACAAUAGUGGUUUAAACUUGAUUAGGAGUUAAAACAUAGGUUAAAUGGAAAAGACCGUAUUACAAUUGACAAUUCGUGGUUUAAACCGACAUCGCCUUUUUUUAAUGAAAAUAAUAUGAAUUAUAAAAAACCUGAAUAAAGUGUAGACGAAGAAAUAUUGAUGGCAAAAUAAUAAUAAAUACUCAUAAAUAAUAUAAUAUAAUAAUGAUAAUAAUAUAUUUUUAAAAAUAUGCGAUUAUUACCGUGCAUUUUUAGUGAAUGGUAAAUGAAUAGUGAUAAUGAGUGAUAAUGUUGGUUGUUGGUUGAACGACGGGUAGUUGAGGACUCCCCUUAACAAUUUUUAACUCUAUGCUUUGGUUUUUUUUUUUUCGUAUUAUCACUUAUUAAACGUGGUGUAGUGUGUAUCUAAGGUUGUGUAAUACGAAUAAUUAAAUAGGUACUAUGCUAGAGUAAAUGAAACAAAUUAAAUAAUUGUUUUACAUCAAAUAUUUAUUGCGAUUUCUGUGUAGAUAUUUCAUCGACACGUUGUUGGUAAGUAUAUUAUUUAUAUUUAUAAUUAGAGCACGGAUUUAAAUGUAUUAAAAACUAACCAAAUAUACGCUAAACAAAUCUUAAAUAUGCAUAGUUAUAUGCACUAAAAUGUUAAUAUACCCAUAAAUAGUAAAAAAAAAUACGACAGAAAGCACACACGAACGCACGGUAAAUAUUUUAACAUAACUAAAAUGUCAAUGUUCAGUGGCCGUAAACGAUAUUUUCUUAUCUUGGUACACGUAUUUUAUUUCACCGAUUAUUUAUCUUAGGUCAUAUUUGGGAAACUGUUGUUUUGCCUACAAGUAUACCAAUUAAUUUAUUUUGAUAUUAAUCGAAACUAUAUAAAUAUAAUAUUUUUUUCCUAUAUUAUAAUAGUAUAUAUUUCAAAAAUGUCUAGAAAACAAAAAACACCGAAAUUUGUAUUAAAAAAUGAAAUAUGCAAAACUGAUUGUCGAAAUAUGCACUAAAAAGUUUAAUUUUUCAAAUCGUUAUGUCAUAAAACAAAUUUUGUGCCCACUUAGCAUAUCAUACAAUCAACUAGAAUAAAUAUGCAAAUCCGUGCUCUAUUUAUAAUAUUAUUUAAUUAUUGUAAAGAAGUAUUUUUUUCAUAAACUUAAUUAUCGUUAAAAUAUAAAACUACUUUAGUGGGCACGUUUUAUUUUUCUAAUUUUUUAAUUUUUAAAUUUUUUUUUUAAUAUGUGUUUUUAAAUGCUUGUUCUGAAAGUGAAUUAAUUUUUUUGCAGAAAUCAUUAUUAAAGAAGUUGUAGCUGUUAAAAAUUUGUCGUUAUUGGGUUUUGCUUAUAUAGUUUUUCGAGCCCAUACAAAUUUCACUGUUGCACAAUGUAUAUAUACGCAAGAUGUUUAUACUCAAAAACUGCAGUAUGUAUAGGGUUUGAACUUUAAUUUGUAGAUAGGUAAAUCCAUUACGCUAUAGUGAAAUGUGUAUGGGCGGCUUGAAAAAACUACAAAAUAUUAAAAAAAAAUAAUAAGUCAUAGAAAAAUAAGUGUUGUCCAGUCGAAAAACACGUAGGUAUUUUCAAAAAAAGUUGAAACAUUUGGGGUGCCUGGUUAAGGAUUUUUCUUUUAAUAGUUAUCUUUAAUACAUAUUAUCUAGGUAGUUAGGAUAUUUUUCAUUAGAUUUUAAUUUCAUUACUUAAUAGAACUUUUAGGAUGCUUAAUCUCCAUAAUUUUUAAAAACCUAAUUUAUUUCUGACUUUAAAUAUAUAAUAAAUGUAACAGUAAUACAUAUUAGAAAUUAAAUAAUCACUCUGAUAAUAACUGUAGAUGAUUAUAAAAUCAACCUCUGUUUAACAGUAAAAUUUCUAAAAGAACAGUAAUCACAUAGGUUAUUUCUGUUGUCGUUUUUUAGGUACACUAUUAUUUAUAUAAUUCCAUCAUAUAUGUCAAUACAAAUUGAUUACUCUUUAAUGGACUACAAAAAUUGCCCCUUUGGCAACAAGGUUCUUCCGCACUCUAAUAUGGGCCUGCUAAUGGGUCACUAUAUAUUAUACAAUUUCCUUGACCUUUCUGAAGUCCUAAUCUGUUCCAGAUUAUAUUGAAAUAAAAAUGUUUUAUUUGAAUACAUAUUUCAUUUUAAUAAUUAUAAUUUAUAAUUGAUCAUAAACUUAUAUGGUUAAAAACUAUAAAUUAUAUACUGUAUUUACAUAUUUUACUGUGACAUGAUUAAAUAUUAAAUAAUUUACUGUUUAUUAUAAAAUAUAUCUGCCAAUGUUUGUUUCAUUUUAGUAUUAUAAUUUUUAGAUAUAAUGGAUUCUUCUGAACUUAACUGUAUUUCAAAAAAUAAAUGUUUUGGAGGUUCUCAACGAGUUUAUGAACAUUUUAGGUAAUUAUUUAAACAAUUAUGAUAAUUGCUGUACGUCUGAUUACGAGAUGUUUAUUUAAUUUUUUUUAUUUUUCAGUUCUUCAUUACAAUGUAACAUGAAAUUUGCUAUUUACAUUCCUCCAGAAACAAUACGUUCUGAAAAAUUCCCUGUAUUGUUUUACUUAUCAGGUUUAACAUGCAGUGAACAAAAUGUCAUCACUAAGUCAGGAUUUCAAAAAUUUGCUGCUCAAUAUAAAAUAAUUAUUGUUGCUCCUGACACUAGCCCUAGUAAGUUGAUAUCUAAACUGAUACAUAAUUGUGUAAAAUUGUAUAUCUUUAUACACUUUAGUAUAAGUAUAAACUGAAACAAAAUUUAAUAACUCUAAAGCUUAUAGGAAUUAAAUUUAGACAUGAUAAUUAUUUUAAUAGUUUAUCAUUUUAUUUAAAAUGCGUAUAAUUGAGAUCCGACUGAAGGCUUUGUCACAUCAUAACCGUAGGACCGACCAUCGUGACUGCUCCUCAGAAUCAAUAUAAUAUCAUAAUAUAAAAUAUAUAAUGUAUUAGUGAUUUUACCUCUAACCUUAGCUCCAAAUGUUGCAUGUAUGAUGGCGUAUAUAAUAUAUAUGUAUCAUUUUUAACAGCUCCAAAUUAAACUUAAUUAUUUAUUUAUUUAUUAACACCAGUCAGCAAUUUUGUGAUAACAUUUAUGGUUUGGUUUACAAGUAACAGUUAUUUAUAAUGUAAUACUAAUAAUUCACAGUAACAACGAAAAUAGUGCAGAAACAACAAAAUACAUAUUAGGUGGUGACAUAUUACCACCAUAUAAAAAAAAAAAAUUAAUAAAUAAAAAUUAAAUUAAAUAUAAAAACAUUACAACUAGUUUUACAUUUAAAAUGAUUAAAAAUCAUUUUUUGAUUGAAAUCAAAAUUAAGGCUAUUUAAAUUACGAAGCAUUUUAUGUAAGAGGAGGUUAUUACCAUAGAUAUACUGUGGGCUGGUACUAGGAAGAUAGUGUGAUGUCUGGAGAAGACGAAAGGGAUACGAAAACUUACUUUUAUAAUAGAUCAGAAGCAUCUAUGGUGCCUCUUAAGCAUGAAGAAAUAAAUUGCACGUCAAUGUCUUAUGUAGGAUAAACGUAGUGGAAUUUCCAAUAUACUACGAAUUAAGGAGAAGUCAUGUUGAUGGGUGUGGUAAUUUAAGGAAAUGGGCUGCGUGCGUAGGAAAGAAACCUAUUUUGAACACAUUCUAGUCUAAAUUCAUCUUUAGCCAAGUAAGGAUGCCAUACUAUCACUCUAUAUUCUAAUAUUGAAUGUACUAACGUGAAAUAUAAUGUCAGGAGGCAACACAAAAGAAAAAUGUGUGGUGUUGCGCUUAAUAAAUCCCAAGACUUUUAAUAUUUUACCUACAGUUACAUUUAUGUGAUGUUCAAAGUUAAAAGAUUGAGUAUAUCAAGAUUUUUAUGGAGAAAAACAUGAUCAAGAGUGGUGCCAUUAAAAUAAUAGUUGUUAAUUAUUUUUAAAUGUGGGUAUUUUGCUUAUGGAUUCACAUAAAUCGCAGUUUUUUUCUACUAUUUAUUAAGAAUACAAAAUAAAUCAUUAUAUUAUACAUAAUAUUAGCAAAAAAAAAGCAAUAUAAAAUUUCAUAUCUGGAGUCCCUGGUGCAUAAAACAAAUAUAAAGCUUAUUUUUAUCUGUAUCCUAUAAUAAUUAGCAAAAGGUCUAAAAUCUCGCCCUGGUUAUUACUUAUAGUGUUCUGGCUAUAAUUAUUUUUUAUAAUCUUAUAUAGUUUGACUAAAUAAGGUUUUUUUUUGUUGAUGAUAUGAAUUUUUAUGGCAGAACUGAACUUUUCUUAAAAUUAAUGAACACAAACUAAACUAAUCCUGCACAAAUUUACACAUACAACCUAUUUAUUUGAAUUGAACUGAACAAAACUAUUUAAAAUAUGUUAUUAACUUAAACUAAAUAUUAAACAUUUUUCAUAAUGAGGCCUCUUUGUCCCAUCAUGCACAGGAAACAGUGUUGGUAACUGCGCUGAAUAGUUGUUGUAGAUUUUUGAAUUUCAAAAAUUAAACAGCUCAUAACAUCUAUACUAUUUUUCACGAGAGAAAGUUAUUCACGCACGCAGACUGAGCUUACGGAUCACUUGCUACCGCUCUCGUCGUUGAUGGCAGUCCGCAAAAUUACACCUGGCCUAAUAGUGGUGGGAGCUCUGGGCGAGGUGCGGCGUGGGGAUGCGUAAAAAUAACUAGUUUUUGUUGAGACUCUCCGCUGUUCUUUCGUGAAAAAUAGUAUACUUUAUUUAUGUUUAUUGUGCGAACAAAUUAUUUUUCUGAAUAUUUAUAUUCAAACUAACCAUUUUUGAACACAUUAUAAAAAUAAAUAAUAAUAAUAUUAUUUUAUUUUUGUUAAUUGCUAUUUUAUGUAAAAUACAUGUAUUAAUUUUAUAGGAAAUGUUAUUUCUAAUGAAGAUGAUUCAUGGAAUGUUGGUGCUGGUGCAUCUAUGUAUGUAGAUGCUACCCAAGAACCUUGGAAUAAGCAUUAUCAGAUGUACACCUAUAUUACCAAAGAACUAUAUGAACUAAUACAAAAUCAUUUUCCAGUAAUAAAAAAUAAAAUAUCUAUUACUGGGCACAGGUUAUUUUACAAAGUUUUUUUUGUAAAUAUAUUACAGUCAAAAUUUAAUUCAUUUUAAUUUUAUAUAGUAUGGGUGGCCACGGAGCUUUGUUAUGCACUUUACUUAAUCCAGGAAAGUAUAAAUCAGUUUCAUUAUUUGCACCAGCUUGUAGUAUUUCAAAUUCACUUACAUUACGCCCUGGGUUAACUGCAUUAAUUGGAGAUGUCGUGGAAGAUUGGCAAAAAUGGGAUCCAACUUAUUUAGUAAAAAGUUACAAUGGUCCUGAACUGGAAAUAUUAAUACAUGUGGUAUGCAUUUUAACAAUUUGAAUUAAUUUAGUUUUAUAUUGUACUUGUUUCUUUGUAGAAAAUAUAUUUACUAGAAAAAAUUCUGAACUCAAAUUGUUGGAAAUUAUUUUAAAGUGAUUAGUUAUACAUGAUUAAGUGAACACUUUUAUCUGUAUAGUAUAAACUAAUAAAUUUGAUUAAUAUUUGAAUAUAAUAUUCACAGGGUACUGAUGAUGAAUAUUUAGAAAAAGAUCUAUUUAUUCAUGAUUUUAAGAAUGCAACUGAUAAUUCUGAAAAAAUCAAGACCAACAUUUUUUACGAGGACGGCUAUGAUCAUGGAUAUUAUUUCGUAUCAACAUUUAUGGAGGAACAUAUAAAAUUCCAUUGUUUUAAAUUGGCCUCAUAGAAUAAUUGAAAAUCUAGUUUAUAUUGUAGUAAUUCAUGAACUUUUAUUGUUAUUACUAUUAUUAUUUUAAUUUUAUUUUAUAAAUUAUAAAUAGGUGAAAAAACUCUUUAACCAAAUAAAAGUGACAUCGUAAAUGGCACAAGUAAUUUAAAAUACAGUUGAUGAAAUAAUAACAAUGGAAUAUAUAUAAGUAAAUAGAACAAAAAUUAAAUUACAUUAUACAAUUAGUUAACGUGUUAUAAUAUACAUUAGACAUAAAAACUUCACGAGACAUAAAAAAAAAUCAAUACAAGAUGUUAAUUAAUUUGCUAACAUUAGAACUUAAGGAAAAUAUAAUGCUGAGCUAUAAUUAUUGGUAAAAAAAAAAAAAAAAAACAUAAAAUAAUUUAUUAGUCCUGAAGAUAUGACUAGUGUGAAAGUCAGCCAUUGAAAGUAACUCUAGAUAAUCUAUAUUUCCAUUAAGCAAGUCAAAUAAAAACAUUAAAUCAGUAAAUUUUCUUCUGAGAUUACAAGAUGUAAUACAUAUCUGAGAAGAUUGUAAAUGAUAAGAAUCCUUGGAUAUACUAAUAUUUAAUUUAUAACAGAUGGAUUCAGUAUAUUUGUAUUGAAUAUUUUCAAUAUGAUUAAUAAAAGCUGCAUAGUUAAGAGAUCAAACCAAAGAACCAAAUUCGAGCUUGGGCCUAACAAGAGAGAAAUUUAACAUUUUUAAAGUAUUUAUAUUUUUAAAAUCUUUAGUAUUUCUAUUAACGAAACCCAGAAUCCUGAAAGCAUUACUAGCUAAAAAAUUAAUAUGGGGAGGAA